This 710-nucleotide long non-coding RNA is filed under the name Androctonus crassicauda. Lineage: Eukaryota; Metazoa; Arthropoda; Arachnida; Scorpiones; Buthidae. The record is from RNAcentral.
UAAAAAUCGAAAGCGCUACUUCAUAUAAAAACACAAGUUGUUUAGUAUGUAUUUUCCUGCCAUAGUGCUGAUUAUUUAGUUUUUCUUAAUAAUCAUGGUGCAGAAAGUUGCUAUGGAAAAGCCAUCUGUCCAAAAUGUGGCAAGGAGAACCACAGCAAAGGAAAAUCUCGCUAGAAAUGUUGCAUUAAUUGCAGGGGGUGAUCAAUCAUCCAGCAUAAUCUUGAUCUUGCCCUGUAUGCAAGAUCACCGUCACUCAAUCUGUUCAAAUCAACAAGAAUAUAAAGCCAAAGUAAUGCAAACAGAUCACUCUGCUAAAAUUGGCAUAUUUUACAACUAAGUUUUUUAUUUUCGGUCAAAUGUUUAUAAACAUUUUCAGAAUAAAUUUUAACUGAUUUGCUUGCUGUCUUUUUAUUAAUUAAUAAUAAUGGCUUAAAUAUUGGUCUGAGAAAGAGUCAAAAUUCUUGCUCUGCCUUUACAAGAUAAUUGGAGCCAAUGCCAUUUACUUUGAUUUUAAUGUCAGUAUAGAUACAUAAUAAGCUGCAAUAUAAAAUCUAUUAAUUUGAUUUUUAUUUCAUUGGAGAUAGACAAAAGAAAAGCAUAAAUGUGGGAACUCAAAAAAAUCAUUACAUUUUAAACUAUAUAAUGUUUUUAUAACUCAGUUUACAAAUGCUUAUUAAUUCCUCAAUUUUAAAUACUACAUUAACCAUUAC